AGUGAACGCUGGCGGUAGGCCUAACACAUGCCAGUCGAACGGCAGCACAGUAAGAGCUUGCUCUUACGGGUGGCGAGUGGCGGACGGGUGAGGAAUACAUCGGAAUCUACUUUUUCGUGGGGGAUAACGUAGGGAAACUUACGCUAAUACCGCAUACGACCUACGGGUGAAAGCAGGGGAUCUUCGGACCUUGCGCGAUUGAAUGAGCCGAUGUCGGAUUAGCUAGUUGGCGGGGUAAAGGCCCACCAAGGCGACGAUCCGUAGCUGGUCUGAGAGGAUGAUCAGCCACACUGGAACUGAGACACGGUCCAGACUCCUACGGGAGGCAGCAGUGGGGAAUAUUGGACAAUGGGCGCAAGCCUAAUCCAGCCAUACCGCGUGGGGGAAGAAGGCCUUCGGGUUGUAAAGCCCUUUUGUUGGGAAAGAAAAGCAGCAGGUUAAUACCCCGCUGUUCUGACGGUACCCAAAGAAUAAGCACCGGCUAACUUCGUGC
Molecule: ribosomal RNA, 493 nt
Filed under: uncultured bacterium
Lineage: Bacteria
Description: partial 16S ribosomal RNA
Rfam family: Bacterial small subunit ribosomal RNA
Source: RNAcentral